Molecule: long non-coding RNA, 522 nt
Filed under: Sorghum bicolor (sorghum)
Lineage: Eukaryota; Viridiplantae; Streptophyta; Magnoliopsida; Poales; Poaceae
Description: long non-coding RNA (SBIC_LNC011172)
Source: RNAcentral
CCGCUAACGGAUCCUUCGAAAAAAAGAACAGUGACCUCAGCCCAUUGCAUGAGGCUGGCCUGUGUGUCCUCUGUUGUCUCAGCUCUGCUUCUUUGUUUCUCCCUCCCUCUAAUGCAAUUAGAGUACUCAAAGGAUUCAAUCACCACGGUGACCUAGCUAGGCUAAUUCUCAAUUUAACUUCACAUCCAUUGUGUUGGUGCCUGGCUCCAUGAAAAUGCCUGGCAAACUUUUCAUUGGCCAUCGUCUUGACGUGGUGUUCUAGUAGAACGAAACCAGUAAACUCUUGCAUUUUUUUUCUUUGAUUUUAGUUGAUGGUGUAGUCCAAGAUACGUGUCUGUAGCUGAAGUGGAGGUCUAUUAAAGAAUAGCAUUGUGUUCCUUUAGGCACCAUGAAACUGUAAGUGCAACUGAUCAAACCUGGCCUUCCGAACCCAAACAAAGUUAUUAGUUAAUCUGAGUGUAAUAGAACAGGUGAAAAUUAAGUGCAUGUGGAACAUGAUUUAUAUGAAUGCGGCAAAUAAGG